UUAUACAUGAAGAGUUUAAUUUAAAUACAUUGAUAAGGUAUUAUAUUUCUUUUGAAGGUACUGCAGGCAUUCUUUAUUAUGUUUUGUUUGUAAAUUCCUUCAUUUAAGGGUUGUUUCAAGAUAAGCAACAUUUGCAUCAGCUCAAUUUUGUGCUUUUUAUCUGUGUCUUGAGCAUCUUGAUUUGUUCUAUUAUCAACACGAUAAAUAAUUAGUGGGGCUCCACCAAAUUCACUUAAAAUUUUUUCCCCGUGCAUUUAGGGUUGUUUUUUAGUGUUCCAAAAGUACCUUAAAGGUGGGGAAGACACAUAUUUCCUGACAUAACACUCAUCACCUUUUGCAUGCAUUUUGAAUUUCAAAAUUUAAUACAAUAGAAGAGGAAGAAGGAAAAGGAGGUUUAUUAGGCUAUCUUUUAAUCUUUGUUUUUAAACUCAUGUGCUAUUGAUGUAGAUGACCACCUAUUCCAAUAUUAUUGACAUUCAAUAUACAUAAGGUAAUGAGUGUUAUGAUGGAAAAUAUGUGAGCCCCUCAUCUAAAUAUCUACCAUCAACACCAUUCUUUGCUUACUUCCAUUGUAGAUUUUCAGUUUUUCAUUUGUUUUGAUUAUAUUUAUGAAAUUACUCCCAAAUAAUCAACUUCAGUCUAAAAUUUCUCAUUUUUCAUUUCUUUUUAACAUCUUUAUCAUCUAAGAUUGCAGCGAGAUUUUUGUUUGGUGAAUCUUGGUUUAUUUCUUGCUACAAUGACAAAGUAAAUCAGUGUCGUAAAUGCUUGUUUUGGUACUCAUUUGUUAAAUGGAGGUCACCCAUUAAGUGAUGGUUUGAAGAAGAGUUAGGGAUGAGUUGCAAGAUAAAUGUUAAGGAAAUUAUGAUUUCUAUGGCCUAUAAUUUGACUCUGGUUUUGAUAAAUCCAUUCAUGGGAGUAUGGGAAGAAUAAUAUUAAAAUUCUAGCACCUCUACAAUGUUGAAUGCUGUAACAAAAGACAAAACUUCCCUCUGUGUAAAACCAACAAAUUUACAUUUGUAUUGUUAUCUUUAUGUUAUAAUAUCUGCCAUGUAUUUUUCAUAUCUUUAAUUAUUGCACCAAUCUUUGAAAUAAAUUUAAAUGGCAACCACUCUAUGUACACUACUACCCACGAUAUUUUUCAUCCAUUCUGUUCCCCAGAACAACUAUAUUAAUAAAACCUUCACCGCCCAAUUUGGCCACCCUGCCCAUAGAAUUUCAAGUUGCCUUUUUAGAAAUUCCAAAUUGUCUUUUAUUAUAUUCUUAAUUUCCUACCUGCAUGCAAUGCACCUAUCCUCUUGAGUCACUAUUUUCCGCAUUGUUUCAUGACAUCAUCUUCUACUUCUUUCCUUACAUGAAUCUAAGGGAGCUGUUUUUGAUUCUAGCAUUGACUGAAUCAAUCGUCCACUUGACAUUGACAUGACCACAUUUCAAAUACACCUAAUUUGAAUCAGAGCUACGCUGCUUCUAGAGGCUAGAGACGCGUGGAGGACAUCGUUUAAUUUCACACUUUGUAAUCACAAUAUCACUUUGUACCUUCAUUGUAUUUCUUUCAGUUUAACAUAUUUAAUUGAACUUUAUUGUGUUACAUAUUCACCAUCCAUAGUUCAUUAUAGAGUCUCACAUUUACAAAUUUGGGACCCCUGCACUUCUCAUUGUCACUGUUUGGUUUGCUUUCACUGUCUAUUAUUUUUUCCUCUUAUUUGUCUUAAGUAACCCAUGCAAUAUCCUCUUGAUUGAAGUCCACUUUUUGGACAAAAAAUAUUUACUUUCACAUCCAUAACAUUUAACUGAUAUAUACAUUUCUUCUUCUAUAUAUUUCUUACUGUAAAAAUCAACUUCAGAAUUCUUUUUCUUGUCUAUUAUGAUUAUAUGUCUUUAAUUUUCAAUUCAGUAUCUAAAAGGCCCGUAUAAGUCUGAGAUUUAAGCAAUCUGUCGUCUUUAUGUCUUCUAAGUCUUUAACCAAAUAAGAUGUCUUCUCUGUAAACCGUAUGUCUUUCGGGUUCACAGAAUAUCUUCCAACAGUUAAUGAUACAUCUUCUGAGCAACUCCUUACAGGGUGUCUAGCCAUCGGGAAAUAGCGGGAAUUUUUUGGUAGCGGGAAAAGACGGGAAAACAACGGGAUUUUUUUUCGAGAUCGGGAAUUUUCGGAGAAAUGCACAGAAAGUUGUAGUUUCAAUACAUAAUUUGCUUCCUGCUAGCAAAAUUGAUAUAGGAUUUUCAACUAAGAGCGCAUUGAAGAAUGCUAAAAUCAAGCCCUCUGGUGAAUUAUUGACUAAAUUCAUGAUUGAUUGUAAAAAUUGUUUCGUUAAAAUUAUUAAAAAAAUUCAAGAACGAUCACCUCUAUUGUAUAAACUUACAAAGUACAUAACUUGUGUGAAUCCAAAUUUAAUCGCACAUCAAUCCAACGUAGCUCUACAGCGACUUGACUCUUGCUUGGCUGUUCUGGUUGACACGAACAAGUUGAUUUCUGGCUCGACGGCUGACAAAAUAAAAAAAGAGUAUCGAGAUAUUCUACAAUUUUCUAACACCAUUCAAUCUAUGAAGAUAUAUAAUCGAAAUGUAAAAAGGCUUGAUAAAUUUUGGAUAGAAUUGAUAGAAGAUUCCGGUUUGACCUGCCCGAACUUGAUUAAUUUUCUAGAAAUAAUUUUCAUUUUAUCUCAUGGAAAUGCAGCAGUUGAGCGCGGAUUUUCCGUAAACAAAGAGGCAAUCGUUGUAAAUCAGGCGGAAAACAGUCUAGUUGCCUUGCGCAUCAUUUAUGAUGCAGUUACUGCGGCAGGGGGCAUCAAACACGUAUCUAUCACAUCUAAAAUGAUGUUGAACAUGGGAAUGGCGCAUAGUAGAUAUGUGGAGUUCUGUCAGAAUAAAAAAAUGAAGAUGCACAAAAACAAAAGGAGUCUAAUGAAAGAAAAAGAAAA
Long non-coding RNA from Diorhabda sublineata, 2915 nucleotides. RefSeq lists it as uncharacterized. The transcript has 2 exons. The record is from RefSeq and is a predicted model, not a curated record. Lineage: Eukaryota; Metazoa; Arthropoda; Insecta; Coleoptera; Chrysomelidae.